UGAUAUCCUUUUUUCAAUUGCCUGGUUGUGCAAGGAAGAAAAAAUUUUGAAACAAUAGCAAAGUAAGUUAGUGCAAUAUCUUGUCAGUUUUCACUAUUUCUCUCGGUUAAGAUGAAAUGAGAAAUAUAUAUUUGAAAUGUUAGAACUUAGAAUCAAUGAUAAGAAAUAAGGAGGAACUGUUUCACAGGUACACGCACAUACAGAGGCUUAUGCAGAUGCAAGCUCACCAAAGCUUAUUCAUUUUGCAGAAUAUUAGAUGUAAAUAGAUACAAGUAAACUAAUUUGUACUAGUACCAAUAUUCUAUAAAUAGACGCUUGAUUUUAGUGGGCAUCAACUGCAUAGAAUGCUUUCUCCCUCUUUAAUAGUAGGGGCCAUCAUAUGAAAUGCUACUGCUUUAAUCUUCAAGUGAGACAGUUAAGGCAAAAGGCAGAGCCAAAAAAAAUAAUAAUAAUAAGGAGAAAACUAAAGCCAAAGAAAAUUUAUUAAAUUUCAUAGCCAGACAAUUGAUGAUCAUGCAUAAAUACAGAUAUCCACAGAUGUGAAUUCUACUCGGCCCACUUUACCUAGUCAGCAGAGAGGACAACCUUCAGGAACUCGCUUCUAAAAGACUUUUGCCUAGCAAGAGGAAAGAAUGUGACUGACAUUCCUUUAGCAAGUGGCAAUUGCAUAAACUGGUAGCCACUAGAAUUUCAAGCAAUCAUAGACAUAUUUUCAACCAUAACUCUAACCCUAGGCUUUCCAAAGGGAUAAUGUUUGUGCAGCCAUUGAUCAAGCUAUAAUCAUAUCAUCAACACCCUCACUCCAAGAAUGUCAACUCCAAAAUUAAUGCACUUAAAGAGGAAAGAACCAGGUGUCCUUGACGCAGCGUGAAGCUCAAAUAGAAAUACACUCCACACGCAAGAGUGAAAAUAAGGAGAGAAAACUCUGUUGAAUUUUUAUUAAUAAUAAUUUGUCUUCAAAUUACAUGUAAAUAAGGAUAUUUAUAGUGUUUUAAGACUUCUAAACCUAAUAAGAAUAUAAAUCUAGGAAUUUAGAUAAACUAAAACACAAUAAGAAGAUAUAAAUUAAAUAGGAAAACUAAAUCCUAGAUAAAGUAGAAAAACAUUAAUAAGCCCUAAAUAGAGUAGAAGACUUCGUAAUUAAUUCUAAUAUAAUCUCUACAGUUGUUGGAAGUUUUCAUAAGACGUCCUAGAUAAAUUAG
RNAcentral lists this unclassified non-coding RNA (1202 nucleotides) under Hevea brasiliensis (rubber tree). Lineage: Eukaryota; Viridiplantae; Streptophyta; Magnoliopsida; Malpighiales; Euphorbiaceae. The record is from RNAcentral.